GACGAACGCUGGCGGCGUGCUUAACACAUGCAAGUCGAACGGUGAACCAGGGCUUGCCCUGGGGAUCAGUGGCGAACGGGUGAGUAACACGUGGGCAACCUGCCCCUGACUCUGGGAUAACUCCUCGAAAGAGGUGCUAAUACCGGAUACGACCACUUCGGGCAUCCGAUGGUGGUGGAAAGAAUUUUGGUCAGGGAUGGGCCCGCGGCCUAUCAGCUUGUUGGUGGGGUAACGGCCCACCAAGGCGACGACGGGUAGCCGGCCUGAGAGGGCGACCGGCCACACUGGGACUGAGACACGGCCCAGACUCCUACGGGAGGCAGCAGUGGGAAAUAUUGCGCAAUGGGCGAAAGCCUGACGCAGCGACGCCGCGUGAGGGACGACGGCCUCGGGUUGUAACCUCUUUCUAGCAGGACGAAGCGAAAGUGACGGUACCUGCAGAGAAGACACCGGCUAACUACGUGCCAGCAGCCGCGGUAA
This 480-nucleotide ribosomal RNA is filed under the name uncultured bacterium. RNAcentral describes it as "bacterial SSU rRNA". It matches the Rfam family "Bacterial small subunit ribosomal RNA", at positions 28 to 523 of the family's 1533-position model. The record is from RNAcentral.